This 400-nucleotide ribosomal RNA is filed under the name uncultured bacterium. RNAcentral describes it as "bacterial SSU rRNA". It matches the Rfam family "Bacterial small subunit ribosomal RNA", at positions 356 to 773 of the family's 1533-position model. The record is from RNAcentral.
GGGGAAUAUUGCACAAUGGGGGAAACCCUGAUGCAGCGACGCCGCGUGAGUGAAGAAGUACUUCGGUAUGUAAAGCUCUAUCAGCAGGGAAGAAGAUGACGGUACCUGACUAAGAAGCCCCGGCUAACUACGUGCCAGCAGCCGCGGUAAUACGUAGGGGGCAAGCGUUAUCCGGAUUUACUGGGUGUAAAGGGAGCGUAGGUGGUGAGGCAAGUCAGAUGUGAAACCCCGGGGCUCAACCCCGGGACUGCACUUGAAACUGUCUUGCUAGAGUGCAGGAGAGGUAAGUGGAAUUCCUAGUGUAGCGGUGAAAUGCGUAGAUAUUAGGAGGAACACCAGUGGCGAAGGCGGCUUACUGGACUGUAACUGACACUGAGGCUCGAAAGCGUGGGGAGCAAAC